CCUUCCACUAGAGGCUGUGGCUAUUGUGUCACAUGUUUGUCAGUAAGUGACAGAGAGGAGCAAGACUGUAUCUAUGCUCAGUGUUCUGUCCUGUGGACAUCUGAAUGAUUACUAGCCUACCACU
Small nucleolar RNA from Rattus norvegicus (Norway rat), 124 nucleotides. Ensembl annotates it as small nucleolar RNA SNORA17. Lineage: Eukaryota; Metazoa; Chordata; Mammalia; Rodentia; Muridae. The record is from Ensembl.